This 781-nucleotide ribosomal RNA is filed under the name uncultured bacterium. Its description in RNAcentral is "bacterial SSU rRNA". It matches the Rfam family "Bacterial small subunit ribosomal RNA", at positions 1 to 780 of the family's 1533-position model. The record is from RNAcentral.
UUAGGGUUUGAUCAUGGCUCAGGUUGAACGCUGGCGGCGUGCCUAACACAUGCAAGUCGAGCGGUAACAGGUGUAGCAAUACAUGCUGACGAGCGGCGGACGGGUGAGUAACGCUUGGGAAUCUGCCUGAUAGUGGGGGACAACCCGGGGAAACUCGGGCUAAUACCGCAUACGCACUACGGUGGAAAGCCGGGGACCGCAAGGCCUGGCGCUAUCAGAUGAGCCCAAGUCGGAUUAGCUAGUUGGUAGGGUAACGGCCUACCAAGGCGACGAUCCGUAACUGGUCUGAGAGGACGACCAGUCACACCGGAACUGAGACACGGUCCGGACUCCUACGGGAGGCAGCAGUGGGGAAUAUUGGACAAUGGGCGAAAGCCUGAUCCAGCGACGCCGCGUGGGUGAAGAAGGCCUGCGGGUUGUAAAGCCCUUUCGGUGGGGAAGAAAAGCCUCGAGCUAAUACCUCGGGGUCUUGACGUAACCCAUAGAAGAAGCACCGGCUAACUCUGUGCCAGCAGCCGCGGUAAUACAGAGGGUGCGAGCGUUAAUCGGAAUUACUGGGCGUAAAGCGCGCGUAGGCGGCUUUGCAAGUCGGGUGUGAAAUCCCCAGGCUUAACCUGGGAACUGCAUUCGAGACUGCAUUGCUAGAGUAUGGGAGAGGGAAGUGGAAUUUCCGGUGUAGCGGUGAAAUGCGUAGAUAUCGGAAGGAACAUCAGUGGCGAAAGCGACUUCCUGGACCAAUACUGACGCUCAUGUGCGAAAGCGUGGGGAGCAAACAGGAUUA